This 65-nucleotide transfer RNA is filed under the name Dipodomys ordii (Ord's kangaroo rat). It matches the Rfam family "tRNA". From Rfam's summary of the family: Transfer RNA (tRNA) molecules are approximately 80 nucleotides in length. Their secondary structure includes four short double-helical elements and three loops (D, anti-codon, and T loops). Lineage: Eukaryota; Metazoa; Chordata; Mammalia; Rodentia; Heteromyidae. The record is from Rfam by way of RNAcentral.
GGUGGCUCAGUGAUAGAGCACUUGCCUUGCAUGCAAGAGGCCCUGGGUUCGAUUCCUCAGCACCA